AUGCGGGUUGCCCACAAAGAGAAGAAGAUAAUUGUGCCAGAAUAUGAUCCCAACACUCUCCGUAGAAGCUCGAGGAUGAACAACUAUGAUGGAUUUAAAGCCCCCUCCAUGGCAGAAGGGAGAGUGUGCAAGAGCAAGGUGAAGCCUCGCCAUGUACCAGCAGCGCCCAACCUAAACAACACCACAUCUUCUGUUUGCACGGGAGUUCCACCACCAACCCCCAUUCCCACUCUGCAGGCCAUUGGUUCAGUGCGCCGCGGAAUACCUGCUGAAGAACUCUCCCCAGCAAAGCUUCUUGCAUCCAAGAAGGGGGAGUCUUCUACCUCCUCCUCUACCUAA
RNAcentral lists this ribosomal RNA (339 nucleotides) under Triticum aestivum (bread wheat). RNAcentral's name for it is "partial small subunit ribosomal RNA". The record is from RNAcentral. Lineage: Eukaryota; Viridiplantae; Streptophyta; Magnoliopsida; Poales; Poaceae.